Transfer RNA from Trichophyton rubrum CBS 118892, 100 nucleotides. It matches the Rfam family "tRNA". Rfam says of the family: Transfer RNA (tRNA) molecules are approximately 80 nucleotides in length. Their secondary structure includes four short double-helical elements and three loops (D, anti-codon, and T loops). Further hydrogen bonds mediate the characteristic L-shaped molecular structure. tRNAs have two regions of fundamental functional importance: the anti-codon, which is responsible for specific mRNA codon recognition, and the 3' end, to which the tRNAs corresponding amino acid is attached (by aminoacyl-tRNA synthetases). tRNAs cope with the degeneracy of the genetic code in two manners: having more than one tRNA (with a specific anti-codon) for a particular amino acid; and 'wobble' base-pairing, i.e. permitting non-standard base-pairing at the 3rd anti-codon position. NCBI's taxonomy places the organism in Eukaryota, Fungi, Ascomycota, Eurotiomycetes, Onygenales, Arthrodermataceae. The record is from Rfam.
GGCCGCGUGGCCUAAUGGUUAAGGCGCUGGUUUUCGGUUUUGUCUUUAGAGACGAAAGUCUGUCCACCAGAGAUUGUGUGUUCAAAUCACACCGUGGUCG